RNAcentral lists this ribosomal RNA (484 nucleotides) under uncultured bacterium. Its description in RNAcentral is "partial 16S ribosomal RNA". It matches the Rfam family "Bacterial small subunit ribosomal RNA", at positions 30 to 507 of the family's 1533-position model. The record is from RNAcentral.
AUUGAACGCUGGCGGCAGGCCUAACACAUGCAAGUCGAGCGGAUGAAGGGAGCUUGCUCCUGGAUUCAGCGGCGGACGGGUGAGUAAUGCCUAGGAAUCUGCCUGGUAGUGGGGGAUAACGUCCGGAAACGGGCGCUAAUACCGCAUACGUCCUGAGGGAGAAAGUGGGGGAUCUUCGGACCUCACGCUAUCAGAUGAGCCUAGGUCGGAUUAGCUAGUUGGUGGGGUAAAGGCCUACCAAGGCGACGAUCCGUAACUGGUCUGAGAGGAUGAUCAGUCACACUGGAACUGAGACACGGUCCAGACUCCUACGGGAAGCAGCAGUGGGGAAUAUUGUACAAUGGGGGAAAGCCUGAUCCAGCCAAGCCGCGUGUGUGAAGAAGGUCUUCGGAUUGUAAAGCACUUUAAGUUGGGAGGAAGGGCAGUAAGUUAAUACCUUGCUGUUUUGACGUUACCAACAGAAUAAGCACCGGCUAACUUCGUG